This 161-nucleotide non-coding RNA is filed under the name Pseudomonas denitrificans (nom. rej.). RNAcentral describes it as "Pseudomonas denitrificans FMN sequence". It matches the Rfam family "FMN riboswitch aptamer (RFN element)". From Rfam's summary of the family: The RFN element is a highly conserved domain that is found frequently in the 5'-untranslated regions of prokaryotic mRNAs that encode for flavin mononucleotide (FMN) biosynthesis and transport proteins. Lineage: Bacteria; Pseudomonadati; Pseudomonadota; Gammaproteobacteria; Pseudomonadales; Pseudomonadaceae. The record is from RNAcentral.
UGACGUUCUCAGGGCGGGGUGCAAGUCCCCACCGGCGGUAAUGGCGCGCAAUGCGUCUAGCCCGCGAGCGCUUGCCGAACCGCUUCGCCGGAGGGCAAGGUCAGCAGACCCGGUGUGAUUCCGGGGCCGACGGUAAUAGUCCGGAUGAAGAGAGAACGGGA